This 482-nucleotide ribosomal RNA is filed under the name Planomicrobium sp. 3T5,3 5. RNAcentral describes it as "bacterial SSU rRNA". It matches the Rfam family "Bacterial small subunit ribosomal RNA", at positions 394 to 876 of the family's 1533-position model. Lineage: Bacteria; Bacillati; Bacillota; Bacilli; Caryophanales; Caryophanaceae. The record is from RNAcentral.
ACGCCGCGUGAGUGACGAAGGUUUUCGGAUCGUAAAACUCUGGGAGGGAAGAAACCGUACCACGUAACUACUGGUACCUUGACGGUACCUCACCAGAAAGCCACGGCUAACUACGUGCCAGCAGCCGCGGUAAUACGUAGGUGGCAAGCGUUGUCCGGAAUUAUUGGGCGUAAAGCGCGCGCAGGCGGUCCCUUAAGUCUGAUGUGAAAGCCCACGGCUCAACCGUGGAGGGUCAUUGGAAACUGGGGGACUUGAGUGCAGAAGAGGAAAGUGGAAUUCCACGUGUAGCGGUGAAAUGCGUAGAGAUGUGGAGGAACACCAGUGGCGAAGGCGACUUUCUGGUCUGUAACUGACGCUGAGGCGCGAAAGCGUGGGGAGCAAACAGGUUAGAUACCCUGGUAGUCCACGCCGUAAACGAUGAGGCUAGUUUAGGGGGUUUCCGCCCCUUAGUGCUGCAGCUAACGCAUUAAGCAUCCGCCUGG